GAGGGUAGGGCUGGGCCAGGUGAGGAGUCGCCCGGGCUCCGGGAGCGCCAAACGGAAGAGGAGAAGUAAGGCUGGGCGGACGCGGGCCUGGACCCGCGGGCGGAAAGAGGAAAGAGGCAGGUGUCCCGGGCCCCCGGUCAGGCCGGAGCGCCGAGGCAACGGACGCCUCGGAUCCCCCCACCCCGAGAAUGAGUCUUUCCUAGGAGGUGGAUCGCCGAGGAGCCGGGCUCUAUCCCUGAUCUGGGAAGAUUCCACAUGCCUCAGAGCAACUAAGCUGG
Molecule: long non-coding RNA, 278 nt
Organism: Cervus elaphus (red deer)
Lineage: Eukaryota; Metazoa; Chordata; Mammalia; Artiodactyla; Cervidae
Exons: 3
Source: RefSeq, a predicted model, not a curated record